AGUGAACGCUGGCGGUAGGCCUAACACAUGCAAGUCGAACGGCAGCACAGUAAGGGCUUGCUCUUACGGGUGGCGAGUGGCGGACGGGUGAGGAAUACAUCGGAAUCUACUUUUUCGUGGGGGAUAACGUAGGGAAACUUACGCUAAUACCGCAUACGACCUACGGGUGAAAGCAGGGGAUCUUCGGACCUUGCGCGAUUGAAUGAGCCGAUGUCGGAUUAGCUAGUUGGCGGGGUAAAGGCCCACCAAGGCGACGAUCCGUAGCUGGUCUGAGAGGAUAAUCAGCCACACUGGAACUGAGACACGGUCCAGACUCCUACGGGAGGCAGCAGUGGGGAAUAUUGGACAAUGGGCGCAAGCCUGAUCCAGCCAUACCGCGUGGGUGAAGAAGGCCUUCGGGUUGUAAAGCCCUUUUGUUGGGAAAGAAAAGCAGCAGGUUAAUACCCCGCUGUUCUGACGGUGCCCAAAGAAUAAGCACCGGCUAACUUCGUG
RNAcentral lists this ribosomal RNA (492 nucleotides) under uncultured bacterium. RNAcentral describes it as "partial 16S ribosomal RNA". It matches the Rfam family "Bacterial small subunit ribosomal RNA", at positions 29 to 507 of the family's 1533-position model. The record is from RNAcentral.